This 419-nucleotide ribosomal RNA is filed under the name uncultured bacterium. RNAcentral describes it as "bacterial SSU rRNA". It matches the Rfam family "Bacterial small subunit ribosomal RNA", at positions 355 to 787 of the family's 1533-position model. The record is from RNAcentral.
UGGGGAAUAUUGCACAAUGGGGGAAACCCUGAUGCAGCAACGCCGCGUGAAGGAUGAAGGUUUUCGGAUCGUAAACUUCUAUCAACAGGGACGAAACAAGUGACGGUACCUGAAUAAGAAGCCCCGGCUAACUACGUGCCAGCAGCCGCGGUAAUACGUAGGGGGCAAGCGUUAUCCGGAAUUACUGGGUGUAAAGGGAGCGUAGGCGGCACGUCAAGCCAGAUGUGAAAGCCCGGGGCUUAACCCCGUGGAUUGCAUUUGGAACUGGCGAGCUAGAGUACAGGAGAGGAAAGCGGAAUUCCUAGUGUAGCGGUGAAAUGCGUAGAUAUUAGGAAGAACACCAGUGGCGAAGGCGGCUUUCUGGACUGAAACUGACGCUGAGGCUCGAAAGCGCGGGGAGCAAACAGGAUUAGAUACCC